GUGGGGAAUAUUGGACAAUGGGCGCAAGCCUGAUCCAGCCAUGCCGCGUGAGUGAUGAAGGCCCUAGGGUUGUAAAGCUCUUUCACCGGUGAAGAUAAUGACGGUAACCGGAGAAGAAGCCCCGGCUAACUUCGUGCCAGCAGCCGCGGUAAUACGAAGGGGGCUAGCGUUGUUCGGAAUUACUGGGCGUAAAGCGCACGUAGGCGGACAUUUAAGUCAGGGGUGAAAUCCCGGGGCUCAACCCCGGAACUGCCUUUGAUACUGGGUGUCUGGAGUAUGGAAGAGGUAAGUGGAAUUCCGAGUGUAGAGGUGAAAUUCGUGGAUAUUCGGAGGAACACCAGUGGCGAAGGCGGCUUACUGGUCCAUUACUGACGCUGAGGUGCGAAAGCGUGGGGAGCAAACAGGAUUAGAAACCCCGGUAGUCC
RNAcentral lists this ribosomal RNA (425 nucleotides) under uncultured bacterium. Its description in RNAcentral is "partial 16S ribosomal RNA". It matches the Rfam family "Bacterial small subunit ribosomal RNA", at positions 354 to 796 of the family's 1533-position model. The record is from RNAcentral.